CGCUUGACCUCGGGGUGCGCGCUUUUGUCGUGCUGAGAUGCCAGAUUGGCGAACCCGUUGAACCUGAACCGGCUAGAACCGGCGGAGGGAAGGGUACCGGUUUCAUC
Molecule: non-coding RNA, 107 nt
Filed under: Pseudovibrio sp.
Lineage: Bacteria; Pseudomonadati; Pseudomonadota; Alphaproteobacteria; Hyphomicrobiales; Stappiaceae
Description: TPP sequence
Rfam family: TPP riboswitch aptamer (THI element)
About the family: Vitamin B(1) in its active form thiamin pyrophosphate (TPP) is an essential coenzyme that is synthesised by coupling of pyrimidine and thiazole moieties in bacteria.
Source: RNAcentral